AAAAAGUCAAAAGAUGUUUUCUUUCACCAAGAAAAUAAAUGUCCCCCUUCCCUUUCCAUCAUUUUCAAUCCUUACCUCCUUUUCCCUUCAUCUUGACUUUUCCUCCAUUUCUUUAGCCAAUUCUCAACUUUCAAACUCCUACAGCAUAUCCCACCAUUUCAGGUUAUGAAGAAUCACGUGAAGUCUACAAAUUCUGUGCAAAAUCCCCAACGUUUCUAAUUCAAACGGGUGUGUUGACCAAAAAUGCAAAUCUGAAUUUAAAAAUCCUGCUCAAGAACCCUAACUUCUAUCUAUAAAUAUCUACUUUGAAACUCAUUUUUAAAAGGGUUUUUAUCCGUACUUUUACCCCAAAAUAAAAGGGUUUUUAUCCGCACUUUUAUCCCAAAAUAAAAGGGUUUUUAUCCGCCCUUUUUACCCCAAAAACUAGAGUCAUGCCAAAGCUUUCAAUUUAUUCAUGUCGGCAUUUGACGAUCUUCAAACGGGGUUGAUCAAAAGCCGGUUAUAGUAGAUCUUCUUGACCCUGCCCUCGGUUCACUGCCCCCAAGCAGGUCUGUUAGCUUUAAAAUUUCCUUCUCCCUUUUUUUUAUUUAUAUUUUUUGAGUUCCAUAAUAAAUGUUUGCUUAAGAAUGUGACUUGCUUUCUAUGUAGAAAUCAUGCUUUAGGAAUUAUUUUAUUGAAAAACCAUGAUUUGUGGUUCAUUGUGUAUUCUGCAAUAGAAAGUUUGAAUAAGAAUGACAUGUGUUUGACUAAAUUCUUAUAUGAACUUGCGUAUGGAAUUUGCUCAUAGUACAUCCUAUUAUUAAACCUUUAGGUAAUGUGUCGUUUUCAGCUAUUUAAGAACCAUGUUUGUAGGCCAUGAAUUUUAUGGAUUAGCCACUAUUUACUUAUUUAAAUGUCAUAAGGAAGAAGUACUCUGCUAAAAUUAGGUUUAAGAAAAUGAUUCACUGUUUUAAAUAGUGUGUGAACAUGGAUCUUGUUAAGAGAACUUGUUACUUUUAAAUUAAUCAAUUAAAUAUUACUUAUGGAGUAGCAUUAGCUUGACCCAACUGAUUGGAAGCAUGUUAAAGUGACACAUAUAUUUAAAGGUAUGCCUCAUUCCUAGUUCCUUACAAGUAUAUAUACGGGGUAAAUAUUACGUUCAUAAGUUUUAUGAAAGCAUCAUUUCCUUGCAAUAUGUAUCCUAUUUGAAGUUUUUGAGAUCUGUUCCUUGUCUCUAUAAUACUUGGGACAUACACUCAAUGCAAUCUUGUCUUUGUCUAGAUUCAUUGUUUCAUUUUCUUCAUGCUUAUUGAAGAUUUAAGACCUCUGCUAAUGUUAUUUUUUUAUUUUUUUUUCUUUGCAUGUUACACACACCGGAGCCAAAGAGUCUCAAAGUUAGACUCCACGCCGCUGCCGAAGUGAACCCCCAUACCUUUACCCAUGAUGUUAUACCCCAUUUUAAUGCGGAUCAAACCAGAGUAUAAUAUAUUGGAGACUCUGUCGGGGAUUCUAAGUUCUAAACCAUAACAAACUUAGGUUAAUAAUAAAAAUUAAUUUGUGUGUUUUUAAUUGUUUAUGAUGCUUAUUUGAAUCGCCUUUGUGUGAUAAACUACUUUAUAUGAAUUGUUCAUAUAUUCCUAUUACUUUAUAUAAUUUGUUAUUCCGUUUCACUUCCUCCACUUCUGGAAAAUUCACACAAAGCACACACAUAGCGGUUACGUGGUUUGCGUCCGUGCACUUUUCAAAAAAAUACCUUUUAGGGGAAAGAUCGUGGGUAAGUCGAUCAGCGGUGCAGUCGACAGUCACGGGCUUUUCACUCUCAAGUUGUCCGCUUGGGAGAUGACCAGUCUAGCAAAACCCUUUCUUAGUCAGCCUAAGAUAGAGCCAAACUAAAACCCUUUUAAGAGCAUGCAUCAUUUUAACCUUAGGUGAUUUAAUACCCAAGGUGUAUUAAAUCUAUUAAUUAACCUUAAUCACGGGCUUUGCUUGUUUACUUGCUAUGCUACUUACUCAACUUUAUUAUUUUCACUAACAUUAUCUGUUAUUUUUCAGAAAAAGGAAGUAUUAACUAUCCAACUUGCUUAUAUCUUUAUUUAAAUAUAUACUUUUAUUUGUUCAUAUAUUUUUUUCUUUUGCUUAUUUUUAUAUCAUUUCCCUGAAUCAUUCCGCGCAUAACAACUUUAGAGGACCAUUUUUGUAUUUACUUAGGCUCAAAUUUCUUUUAGGUCUACUCCAACUCUUAGAGUCUAAUUAAGAUAUCUUUAGUCUCUCGGUAUCUUCUAUUUUUAUAAAGUACGGCGUCUUUCCCAUAAACUCUUCAAUAGGUCAGGUUCGUCAUAAAUUUCUCGAAUCUGUGCCUUAAGCUAGCAUUAAGAAUUUUUUAAACAACAAUGAGCAUCUCACUCCCUAUAGCAAGAUAUCAUUCCUACUUCUUUAAAUUUAAAAAAAAAUGUCGUAAUAUUUCAUAAUUAGAAAAUAUUUUUCCCAUCUAAUCCGUGAGUUAAUUUUAUUUGCGUUCUUUUCUUAAAAUAUAGUUACAUAUUUUUCAAAUAUUACCACUCGUGCCUCACCAAAUAUUCGUACCUUCCAUUCUUCUCGUAGCUCUAUGUUUCAUAAAAUCUAUUUACUAUUCUAACUAUUUCAACCUUCGUGCCAAUUCUCAUUUACAUAUUGGUAGAUGUCCAAACUUGCGCAAUCUACCGAACAAUAGAAGGCCACUAUUUUAAUCAAUUUGCAUUGUCAAAUUAUUCUAAAGGUUUUUACCUAUUCAAUUCAAGUUUCUGUAUCGUCUUAUUUCAGAUCGUCGAGAUUAAUCUUCAUGCACCUGUUAAUUCUAAGUUUUGGCAUGUGAGUCAAGGUACUAUCCCAUAAGUCUCAAAUUGGUUGAUACCAUAUUUUAGGCCUCGACAACUUUAUGAUUUGCCAAUGCUAAAAAUAAAUUUAGAAUCAUUUCAUGUCCAAGUCUAGAUAACAAGUUAUUCUCGUCCAUCCAUUUUGCAACAUAGGCCAUCGUUUCUAGUUUAAGGCUCAUACUUAACCAUAACAUGGAUUAAUCUAUAUAAUCAUAUAUUCUAUUAUUUUUACGCUUUUAUUUCAUUAUGAUGAAUACACUAACACUUUAUUUUUGUUUGUAAAGUUUUAUUUUUCCGUUAAAGGUUGCCUAGCAUUGAACACUGUUUUGGCUGCGAAUCUGCAUAAAGGACGAAGCUAUAAUGGCAGACAGAUUUGAAGCAUUCAGUACCGGUAUGAUAUCGUUGCAAGCAGAAGGUGAAUAUACCGAGGCAAAUAUGGUACGAAGAAACUUGUUGGUUAAUCUGGGAAGAACUUUUAACCUUCUUCCAAAUGCAACUUCUGCUUCUAGCUCAAACCGAAAUAUUUGCUUAACCAUAUCUCCUUGCCCAGAUCAUACUUAUGCAAUCUCUACACAAGUUCCAUUAACCUGCAACCCCAAUCAAGUCAUGAUAAUGCCUCUCAAAACCACAACUCCAUUUGAAGAAAGCAAGCAAACCAACUAGUAGUAUGCCCUCAUAAGAGACGUAGAAAAGAAAUCG
Molecule: long non-coding RNA, 3530 nt
Filed under: Nicotiana tabacum (common tobacco)
Lineage: Eukaryota; Viridiplantae; Streptophyta; Magnoliopsida; Solanales; Solanaceae
Description: long non-coding RNA (NTAB_LNC005605)
Source: RNAcentral